GUUUACUUAGUUUAUGAAAAACUCUAGGAUGUGGCCUUAGUGAAACUGAAAAGUAGUUGACU
RNAcentral lists this transfer RNA (62 nucleotides) under Scutopus robustus. RNAcentral's name for it is "tRNA-His". Lineage: Eukaryota; Metazoa; Mollusca; Caudofoveata; Limifossorida; Scutopodidae. The record is from RNAcentral.